UACGUAGGGGGCAAGCGUUGUCCGGAAUCAUUGGGCGUAAAGAGCGUGUAGGCGGCUCGAUAAGUCUGCUGUGAAAGUCCAGGGCUCAACCCUGGAAGGCCGGUGGAAACUGUCGGGCUAGAGUCCGGAAGAGGCGAGUGGAAUUCCUGGUGUAGCGGUGAAAUGCGCAGAUAUCAGGAGGAACACCGGUGGCGAAGGCGCCCACCUGGCCUGCUACUGACGCUGAAGCUCGAAAGCUAGGGGAGCAAACGGG
Molecule: ribosomal RNA, 253 nt
Filed under: uncultured bacterium
Lineage: Bacteria
Description: partial 16S ribosomal RNA
Rfam family: Bacterial small subunit ribosomal RNA
Source: RNAcentral